CGCGGCGGUUGUCAUGGGCCCGAUGGGAGUUCCCGGUCGUGACAUAUAUAGAGUUAUUUUGACAUAUUUUCAAGGCCUAAGCAGCUAGAUCUCUGAGAUUUUAGGAAAUUUGAUGAAAAAGGCUCAUUUGAUGAAAAUUCAUGCAAGUAUGGCGAUGGCUUUAUUUGUAUAUGUUUUCGUAUUUUGACUAUAUGUCUCUAUACAAAAUUCAAAUGAUGUGAUUCUUGGACCGAUAGAAUUAUCAGAGGAGGGGCUACAACUUUUAUGUUUACUACGUCACCUAGUUUAGAUAGGAUCAUGGUCAAAAUGUUUGUCUAAUUCGAAGCACUGCAGUAGUAUGCAUGGACUGAACAUGAUAAGUUUCGAUCAUAUCGAGGUGAAAAUAAUAUUGGAUGAUGCUCAACUGCUGCAGUUCUGCACAAGGCAAUAGGUGGAGGAAGGGUGUGGCCUUGAGUUACUCAAGGUUGCAGCACAUAGGAAGCCAAGGUCGUAACGUUGAAGAAAAAAAGGUUGCAGAGUUGGUGAAAGGAAGUGCAUCGUACAUUUUUUUUUAAGCUAGAGUGCCACAGCGCUAAGAAAUCAUGGCCACAACGUUAUUGUAGCAAAAAUUCAACGUCGCGAGCCAAAAGAAUCAUGGUCGUGGCACCGAAUGAUUUUCCAAAAAUAAAAAUUUGAUGAAAUUUUGGAAAUUAGGUUACUUAGAGCCUAUUUAAGGAACUUUUUUUAGAGUUUUUAAGGCGAAGGUAGCAAGCAACUACUCUAGAGAAAAAGAGCCAAGAACAAAGCAAGAAAAUAAGAGAAUUUGAGAGAGAAUUAAGAUGAUAAAACUUCAAUAAUUAGUUUCU
Non-coding RNA from Theobroma cacao (cacao), 845 nucleotides. The record is from RefSeq and is a predicted model, not a curated record. Lineage: Eukaryota; Viridiplantae; Streptophyta; Magnoliopsida; Malvales; Malvaceae.